Molecule: ribosomal RNA, 414 nt
Filed under: Magallana gigas (Pacific oyster)
Lineage: Eukaryota; Metazoa; Mollusca; Bivalvia; Ostreida; Ostreidae
Description: Crassostrea gigas (Pacific oyster) partial 16S ribosomal RNA
Rfam family: Bacterial large subunit ribosomal RNA
Source: RNAcentral
GAGGGUGCUAAGGUAGCGAAAUUCCUUGCCUUUUGAUUGUGGGCCUGCAUGAAUGGUUUAACGAGGGUUUAACUGUCUCUAAAUUUUUUAUUGAAAUUGUACUGAAGGUGAAGAUACCUUCAUUUAAAAGUUAGACAAAAAGACCCCGUGCACUUUGAAAAUUGACUUUAUUCAGGAGUAAAAGAUUUUUAGGUGGGGCGCCUAGAAAGCAAGUCUAACCUUUCUGAAUAACUAACUCUUUCCGGAUUUGACCCGAUUAUAUUCGAUCAUAGGAGAAGUUACGCCGGGGAUAACAGGCUAAUCCUUUAGUAGAGUUCGUAUUGGCUAAAGGGAUUGGCACCUCGAUGUUGAAUCAGGGAUAAUAGCUUCAAGGCGUAGAGGCUUUGAAAGUAGGUCUGUUCGACCUUUAAUACC